AAAGAUGGGAUGUCCGUGUGGACGAAAUUCCUCAUGUUAAAAACAAACUUCAUCAAGAAGGAUAGUUAACAGCUACUUCACAGUGUUUGUUCACAAGAGGCUUACAAAAUUUCAGACGAAAAUUAAUUCUAUGUGUAUCUUAUAUUUUCGGACGGAGGGAGUGUUCUUUUCUUUCCUGCUAAGCGUAGGAAAGAUUGCAUUCAAAUCAGCGAUAUCGAAAAAUGCGAAGUCAAGGCCGAAGGAAUCACUUUAUCUCUGAAGCAACAUUCCGCUGCGGUUUCGAAGAUAAUCCGAAUAAUUUUUUUUUUUUUUUUCUUUUUUUUCUUUUUAAUUCGGUACUUAUCAAAGAUGAUAGUGCGAAUUUUAGUGUGCCGAAGUUCUGUUUAAAUAGUCACCGGUGAAACAAUACUUUUGUUAGCUAUCUGUUUGUUAGUAGAACUCCAAUUAUCGGAAUCAAUUGGGACCGAAACCCCAUUCAGUGUCGUUAUUUCUGAUCCUUCGACCUGAUUCUUCCCAUAAGUGUUCAAUUGGAUUUAUGUUUGGUGACUGUGGGAGUGUUUCAAGUACUGACUCAUAGUAGCCGGCGGAAACAAGCUGAGUGGCUAGAAGCAUUCAACGCCACAAAAUCAAAUCGCAAAUGGCGCUACAUUUCUGUUUCCUUUGCUUUCCUCGUUGCUUUCGAUACGAAACUGUUGUCGCUUCUCCCAUCUUCACAGAAAAGUUUUGCUUCUAAAGAAGAGGUAUCCUAAUCGCCCUCAAAAUCAAGUGA
This is a long non-coding RNA of Stegodyphus dumicola, 769 nucleotides long. RefSeq lists it as uncharacterized. NCBI's taxonomy places the organism in Eukaryota, Metazoa, Arthropoda, Arachnida, Araneae, Eresidae. The record is from RefSeq and is a predicted model, not a curated record.